GCGAGUGGUAAUUAUAACAAACUAUAGCUAUGAUGACUAAUUAAGUAGUAUAAGUUUGUUUAACCGCGUAAUUUUUCCUUAUAUUUUUAAUUAUGAUAAAAAGUAAACACACAGACAAUUAACUAAAGGAGGUUCAACAUGCAUUGUAUAUACGUAAACAAUAAUUUUAACUAUAUAAUAAAUAAUGUAAUUUUCCGUCGAAAGGAC
This 207-nucleotide long non-coding RNA is filed under the name Solanum tuberosum (potato). RNAcentral describes it as "long non-coding RNA (STUB_LNC006961)". Lineage: Eukaryota; Viridiplantae; Streptophyta; Magnoliopsida; Solanales; Solanaceae. The record is from RNAcentral.